This 414-nucleotide ribosomal RNA is filed under the name Triticum aestivum (bread wheat). RNAcentral's name for it is "partial small subunit ribosomal RNA". Lineage: Eukaryota; Viridiplantae; Streptophyta; Magnoliopsida; Poales; Poaceae. The record is from RNAcentral.
AUGACCGUGACGCUGCAGGAUAUCGCUAUGAUCACCGGUCUUCCUAUCGAUGGCAAUCCUUUAUGUAUGAACACCGAUUCUGAAGGGUGGCGCGCGCAGAUGCAAGCCCUUAUCGGUAUGGUUCCUCCGGAGCCUCGGGAGCCAGAGAGGGAAGAUAAGAAGAAGGAAAGAGUCGCAGCGGGCGCUACUUUCACGUGGAUAUCAUCGCACUUUGCUCAUUGCCCCGAUGAUGCUAAUGAGGACAUGGUGAAGACUUAUGCUCGUGUCUACAUGUGGUACGUGGUAUCGAGGACAAUGUUUGCUGAUGGCACAGGCAAGAAUGCUCCAUGGAUGUGGCUGAAGGCAUUGACCGUCUUCGAUAGCAAAUGGAGUUGGGGUUCGGCGACACUAGCUUACUUGUAUCGACAGGUAUGA